CGGGAGCUUUUGAAGGUCCCGUCCUCUGCGCUUUCAUCCCCGCUGUUUACUCCUCCAAACCUAGUGUCACUGUUCUCUCGAUAUGUGGACCGGCAGAGACUCGAGCUCUUGCAGGAGAAGCUACAGAUCACAGCCCUGUCCAGGUAGAAGUGACUUCAAAUGUGGCAGUUGUUGAGAGGCUGACUGUUAAUGUAUUUGUGAAUGAGCAGUUUUAUGUGUGAUAUGUAUUGGAGGGUGAGGCCAGGUUACUUUUCCUUUCUCGUUAUAAGAGUCACAAUAGAUAAGAAUAAUGUUUAAAUGGUUAUAAACUGUUGUCCAUAGGUUUGUCAAUAAAGGCGAUCAGGUAUAUGUAUUUUAGCUUCCAUUAGGGUCAGCUCUGAGCAGAAGAGCCAGGUAAGGGACCGCAGCGUGUUUCCCUGUGAAAUGGCUCGAUCAUGACAACAUCCGACCUUAUUUAUAGACGCAUAGAUUUGGGGAGAAUUUUGCUGUACAUUAAUAUCUUAAUUUUCUUAUACACUGCAGCUUGUAUGUUUGCAAAAGAGUGGCUGUGCAAGUGUGUCUGUGAGUUUAAAUGAAGGUUUAAACAAAGGUAUUCUUCAUUUUUAAAUAUCUUGACAUGAUGCCUGUGAUACACAUGAAAUUAAAACUUUCUAUUAUACAAA
Sinocyclocheilus rhinocerous is the source of this 662-nucleotide long non-coding RNA. RefSeq lists it as uncharacterized. The record is from RefSeq and is a predicted model, not a curated record. The transcript has 2 exons. NCBI's taxonomy places the organism in Eukaryota, Metazoa, Chordata, Actinopteri, Cypriniformes, Cyprinidae.